UGGGGAAUUUUGCACAAUGGGGGAAACCCUGAUGCAGCGACGCCGCGUGAUUUAGAAGGCCUUCGGGUUGUAAAAAUCUUUUCUAUGGGAAGAAAAUGACAGUACCAUAGGAAUAAGGACCGGCUAAUUACGUGCCAGCAGCCGCGGUAAUACGUAAGGUCCGAGCGUUGUCCGGAAUCAUUGGGGGUAAAGGGUACGUAGGCGGGUAAGCAAGUUAGAAGUGAAAUCCUAUAGCUCAACUAUAGUAAGCUUUUAAAACUGCUCAUCUUGAGGUAUGGAAGGGAAAGUGGAAUUCCUGGUGUAGCGGUGAAAUGCGCAGAUAUUAGGAGGAAUACCGGUGGCGAAGGCGACUUUCUGGCCAUAACCUGACGCUGAGGUACGAAAGCGUGGGUAGCAAACAGG
RNAcentral lists this ribosomal RNA (402 nucleotides) under bacterium. RNAcentral's name for it is "partial 16S ribosomal RNA". It matches the Rfam family "Bacterial small subunit ribosomal RNA", at positions 355 to 776 of the family's 1533-position model. The record is from RNAcentral.